GAAUUUUUUUCAUCAUAACGGAGGAAAGAAACCAACAGGGAUUGCCCCAGUAACGGCGAGUGAAGCGGCAACAGCUCAAAUUUGAAAUCUGGCCCCCUCGGGGCCCGAGUUGUAAUUUGCAGAGGGAGCUUUUGGCGUCGGUCGUGGUCUAAGUUCCUUGGAACAGGACGUCACAGAGGGUGAGAAUCCCGUACGUGGCCGCCGGCCUUCGCCUUGUAAAGCCCCUUCGACGAGUCGAGUUGUUUGGGAAUGCAGCUCUAAAUGGGAGGUAAAUUCCUUCUAAAGCUAAAUACCCGCCAGAGACCGAUAGCGCACAAGUAGAGUGAUCGAAAGAUGAAAAGCACUUUGGAAAGAGAGUGAAAAAGCACGUGAAAUUGUUGAAAGGGAAGCGCUUGCGGCUAGACGUGCCCGCGGUUGAUCAUCCAGGCUCCGGCCUGGUGCACUCCUCCGCGGGCAGGCCAGCAUCAGUUCGGGCGGUCGGAUAAAGGCCUCUGUCACGUACCACCCCUCGGGGUGGCCUUAUAGGGGAGGCGCAACACGGCCAGCCCGGACUGAGGUUCCGCGCAUCUGCUAGGAUGCUGGCGUAAUAGCAGCAAGCGGCCCGUCUUGAAACACGGACCAAGGAGUCUAACAUCUAUGCGAGUGUUUGGGUGUCAAGCCCGAGCGCGCAAUGAAAGUGAACGGAGGUGGGAACCCUCACGGGUGCACCAUCGACCGAUCCUGAUGUCUUCGGAUGGAUUUGAGUAAGAGCAUAGCUGUUGGGACCCGAAAGAUGGUGAACUAUGCCUGAAUAGGGUGAAGCCAGAGGAAACUCUGGUGGAGGCUCGCAGCGGUUCUGACGUGCAAAUCGAUCGUCAAAUUUGGGCAUAGGGGCGAAAGACUAAUCGAUCCAUCAUAGGUUU
This 902-nucleotide ribosomal RNA is filed under the name Torula sichuanensis. RNAcentral describes it as "Torula sp. WT-2022c partial large subunit ribosomal RNA". It matches the Rfam family "Eukaryotic large subunit ribosomal RNA", at positions 30 to 957 of the family's 3401-position model. Lineage: Eukaryota; Fungi; Ascomycota; Dothideomycetes; Pleosporales; Torulaceae. The record is from RNAcentral.